RNAcentral lists this ribosomal RNA (1464 nucleotides) under Triticum aestivum (bread wheat). RNAcentral describes it as "partial small subunit ribosomal RNA". Lineage: Eukaryota; Viridiplantae; Streptophyta; Magnoliopsida; Poales; Poaceae. The record is from RNAcentral.
AUGCACUUGGAGAUGGACAUUUCUGUUGCUCAAUACGUAGCUCUGUGUGGAGUUACACUUGUGAUUGGAUGGCUAGUACACUGGGUAUACAAAUGGAUUAACCCGGUUUGCAACGGUGUUCUUCCUCCUGGCUCCAUGGGAUUCCCUAUUAUUGGUGAGACCUUGGACUUCCUCAAGGCAAGCUCUUCCCUGGACAUCCCAGACUUCUACAAACAAAGGAUGAAAAGGUACGGCCCGGUAUUCAAGACAAGCUUGCUUGGGCAGCCUGCGGUUAUUUCCACCGACGCGGAGGUCAAUCGGUUUGUGUUUCAGCACGAGGAGACCUUGUUCAGUAUCGGGUACCCCUGGGCAGUGACCAAAAUAUUCGGUGAGAAGAGCAUCGAAGCCGCCCAUGGCACAAUCCACAAGUUCGUCCGUAGAUGCGCCUUUGCGCUGUUCGGCCUCCAGAAUCUCAAAGAGGUGCUCCUCCCAGAGAUGGAGGGCGCCGUGAGGGAGCGCCUUGCCGCGUGGGCGACCAAGCCGAGUGUGGACGUGCGCGGUGAUGCGCCCGACAUUCUCUUUGAGCUGGUGACGAGGAAGUGCCUUGGUUUCGAUUCUUCCACCAAGUCGGGAAAACUGAGGAACAAGUUCGAUGCGCUUUUCUCAGGGCUGUUCUCCUUCCCGAUAUAUUUCCCUGGGACAACAUUUUAUCGAUGCAUGCAGGCCAGGAAAAAUGUGCAGAAGACAGUACGGGAUACGUUGGCAGAGAGGUUAGGUACACCAGGGAAGAAACAUGGCGACCUCCUUGACGUAAUUGUCGAGGAACUGCAGGGUGAAGAGCCAUUAAUAAGUGAGGAUUUUGCUAUUGAUAUGGUCUCGAUGUUGUUGUUCUCCAGCGUCUUCACGCUAUCAGGAACAAUCGCUGUAGCAUUCAAGUCACUCCAUGACAACCCAGACGUUCUCCGGUCCCUGGAGAAGGAGAACCAAACUAUGCUCAAGGAUCGAAAGGGUGGGUGCUCCGGGCUCACCUGGGAGGAGUACAAGUCAUUGACAUUCACUAAUCAGGUGACCAAUGAGAUUAUUCGAAUAAGCAAUGCCGUAGUUGGAGUAUUUAGGAAAACUCUUACGGAUGUACAAGUCAACGGCUAUACAAUUCCAGCCGGAUGGCAGGUCAUAGUCAACCCCAUGGCAGUUCAUUUGAACGAAGAAUUGUUCGAAGAUCCACUCAAAUUUAACCCAUGGAGGUGGAUGGAUGAGUCAAAGCGCAGUGCAAUGCUGAAGAAUUUCUUGCCAUUUGGGGCAGGAAUCAGGGUUUGUCCUGCGGCAGAUUUUGUCAAGCUGUUCGUAACACUUACCCUCCAUAUUUUGGUGACGGAGUAUAGAUGGGAAGAAAUGAAAGGAACUGACGAAUUCCGAAGCGCGGAUGUUAUGUUCCCGCAGGGCUAUCACAUUCGACUUCGACCCAAGGACGAUCAAAUGAACUGA